ACAAAAUUGGGGUCUUACAGGGUAGUACCGGGUGGUUGAUUCCUGGAACUUGUUUGUGUCAGAACUGUCUGUUUUGUCAGCAUUAGUCAUACAUAAACCAUGCAUAUACACGUAUAAUCAUAACAUUCAGAUAUUCAUGUUGCAUUUUUUGCCAUAUAUCUUUUGUUUGUUGUCUCUUGCUAAUUGGUGAUUUAGAUCUCUCCAGUAGAUCCCCAAGCAGAUGUCGGUGUGUCUGAUCUCUCCAUAUAGAGUCAGCCCCUUAAGCAGAAAGCGUUUACCCUUUCCUUCUGCACUCCCCACUGAGUUAUCUCCUCGUGGAUGACGGUUGUUUCCGUUCCUCCCAACAUAUAUUGGGAUGGGUUUCCCUAUUGAGUUUUUUCCUCAUUAGGAUGAGUCUUGAUUCAGUUUGCCUUUUUGGUUCUAUCCUAAAUUGG
Molecule: long non-coding RNA, 434 nt
Filed under: Lathyrus oleraceus (garden pea)
Lineage: Eukaryota; Viridiplantae; Streptophyta; Magnoliopsida; Fabales; Fabaceae
Description: Pisum sativum (pea) long non-coding RNA (PSAT_LNC015219)
Source: RNAcentral